CCUACGGGUGGCAGCAGUGGGGAAUAUUGCACAAUGGGGGAAACCCUGAUGCAGCAACGCCGCGUGAGUGAGGAAGUAUUUCGGUAUGUAAAGCUCUAUCAGCAGGGAAUAGAAAAGAAGGUACUUGAAAAAGAAGCCCCGGCGAACUCCGUGCCAGAAGCAGCGGUAAUACGUAGGGGGGAAGCGGUAUCCGGAUUUACUGGGUGUAAAGGGCGCGUAGACGGGAAGGCAAGGCAGAAGUGAAAGCCCAAGGCUCAACCAUGGGAAUGCUUUUGAAACUGGCAAACUAGAGUCCGGGAGAGGUAAGAGGAAUUGCUAGUGUAGGGGUGAAAUGCGUAGAUAUUAGGAGGAACACCAGUGGCGAAGGCGUCUUACUGGAACGGAACUGACGGUGAGGCUCGAAAGCGUGGGGAGCAAACAGGAUUAGAUACCCCAGUAGUC
This 441-nucleotide ribosomal RNA is filed under the name uncultured bacterium. RNAcentral's name for it is "partial 16S ribosomal RNA". It matches the Rfam family "Bacterial small subunit ribosomal RNA", at positions 338 to 795 of the family's 1533-position model. The record is from RNAcentral.